AUUGAACGCUGGCGGCAGGCCUAACACAUGCAAGUCGAACGGCAGCACGGGAGCAAUCCUGGUGGCGAGUGGCGAACGGGUGAGUAAUAUAUCGGAACGUGCCCAGUCGUGGGGAUAACGUAGCGAAAGCUACGCUAAUACCGCAUACGAUCUACGGAUGAAAGCGGGGGGAUCGCAAGACCUCGCGCGAUUGGAGCGGCCGAUAUCAGAUUAGCUAGUUGGUGGGGUAAAGGCCUACCAAGGCAUCGAUCAGUAGCUGGUCUGAGAGGACGACCAGCCACACUGGAACUGAGACACGGUCCAGACUCCCUACGGGAGGCAGCAGUGGGGAAUUUUGGACAAUGGGGGCAACCCUGAUCCAGCAAUGCCGCGUGAGUGAAGA
Molecule: ribosomal RNA, 382 nt
Filed under: uncultured bacterium
Lineage: Bacteria
Description: bacterial SSU rRNA
Rfam family: Bacterial small subunit ribosomal RNA
Source: RNAcentral